Molecule: signal recognition particle RNA, 256 nt
Filed under: bovine gut metagenome
Description: Bacterial large signal recognition particle RNA
Rfam family: Bacterial large signal recognition particle RNA
About the family: The signal recognition particle (SRP) is a universally conserved ribonucleoprotein involved in the co-translational targeting of proteins to membranes.
Source: RNAcentral
ACCGGGGCAGUAGCGGAGCCCUGUUGCCUGCAAUCCGCUAUAGCAGGGGUGAUGCCGAGCCGAGGGCCAAAUUUGAUGGAGCUGCCCUCUCAAAGUGGUGUUGACGUCUGGGUCUUACGCGACGGAAACCUGUGAACCGUGUCAGGGUGGGAACACAGCAGCACUAAGCAGGACCUUUCGGGUGCCGUGAGGGUGCCUUGGCCGAGCUAACUGGAGAGGUAACGUCUGUUGGGUGCGAUUCGGAGCAAGGCGCGCG